This 506-nucleotide ribosomal RNA is filed under the name uncultured bacterium. RNAcentral's name for it is "bacterial SSU rRNA". It matches the Rfam family "Bacterial small subunit ribosomal RNA", at positions 107 to 607 of the family's 1533-position model. The record is from RNAcentral.
UGAGUAAUGUCUGGGAAACUGCCCGAUGGAGGGGGAUAACUACUGGAAACGGUAGCUAAUACCGCAUAACGUCUUCGGACCAAAGUGGGGGACCUUCGGGCCUCACACCAUCGGAUGUGCCCAGAUGGGAUUAGCUAGUAGGUGGGGUAAUGGCUCACCUAGGCGACGAUCCCUAGCUGGUCUGAGAGGAUGACCAGCCACACUGGAACUGAGACACGGUCCAGACUCCUACGGGAGGCAGCAGUGGGGAAUAUUGCACAAUGGGCGCAAGCCUGAUGCAGCCAUGCCGCGUGUAUGAAGAAGGCCUUCGGGUUGUAAAGUACUUUCAGUGGGGAGGAAGGCGUUAAGGUUAAUAACCUUGGCGAUUGACGUUACCCGCAGAAGAAGCACCACCCGCUAACUCCGUGCCAGCAGCCGCGGUAAUACGGAGGGUGCAAGCGUUAAUCGGAAUUACUAUGGUAAAGCGCACGCAGGCGGUCUGUCAAGUCGGAUGUGAAAUCCCCGGG